Molecule: ribosomal RNA, 253 nt
Filed under: uncultured bacterium
Lineage: Bacteria
Description: partial 16S ribosomal RNA
Rfam family: Bacterial small subunit ribosomal RNA
Source: RNAcentral
UACGGGGGGGGCGAGCGUUAAUCGGAAUUACUGGGCGUAAAGCGUGCGCAGGCGGUUCGUUAAGUUCGAUGUGAAAGCCCCGGGCUCAACCUGGGAACUGCAUUGGAAACUGGCGGGCUUGAGUGUGGCAGAGGGGGGUGGAAUUCCACGUGUAGCAGUGAAAUGCGUAGAGAUGUGGAGGAACACCGAUGGCGAAGGCAGCCCCCUGGGCUAACACUGACGCUCAGGCACGAAAGCGUGGGGAGCAAACAGG